AUUCUCGACGUAUGAGGAGCAACAAAUGCAAGACAACUCACUACAGAGCCCAGGACGUCAUCAUGGCUAAAAGCAAGAAUUUACACUGGGUCCUGUGCCUCUGGCUCCUCGUCAUACUUAUCAUCAAUGGGAUUAUAUUUCAGUUGCUUACCCUAAGAUCUCUAGGUAAAUGGAAUACACCAGCUGUCAUGAGUUAUUUGUCUUCAAACACAUCACAAAGCCC
Bufo bufo (common toad) is the source of this 223-nucleotide long non-coding RNA. RefSeq lists it as uncharacterized. Lineage: Eukaryota; Metazoa; Chordata; Amphibia; Anura; Bufonidae. The transcript is spliced from 2 exons. The record is from RefSeq and is a predicted model, not a curated record.